Molecule: ribosomal RNA, 613 nt
Filed under: Gynandropsis gynandra (spiderwisp)
Lineage: Eukaryota; Viridiplantae; Streptophyta; Magnoliopsida; Brassicales; Cleomaceae
Description: eukaryotic LSU rRNA
Rfam family: 5.8S ribosomal RNA (bases 216-373)
Source: RNAcentral
UCGAAACCUCAUCCAAAAGGAAUGACCUGUGAACGAGUGAUCACACAUGCGGUGGGGUCGUGGGUUGGCUAACUUAUGUUGAACAACUCAUGACUCUACCGGAAAUCACCAAACCCCGGCGUUAAAAGCGCCAAGGAACAUUAAACAAAAUAGCUCCCUCCGAAUGCCCCGAUAAGGUGUGUUCGGAGUUGGUGCUGUAAUUAUAAGUCUAUAACGACUCUCGGCAACGGAUAUCUCGGCUCUCGCAUCGAUGAAGAACGUAGCGAAAUGCGAUACUUGGUGUGAAUUGCAGAAUCCCCCGUGAACCAUCGAGUCUUUGAACGCAAGUUGCGCCCCAAGCCGUCAGGCCGAGGGCACGCCUGCCUGGGUGUCACGCAUCGUUGUCCCCUCCCACCCGUUGCAAACCACCGGGUGUUCAUGGAGACGGAAAUUGGUCUCCCGUGUGGUAACCGCACGCGGUUGGCCAAAAACUUAGUCACGGGCGCGGAUCGUCCCGACGAGCGGUGGUGUAUAAUGCCUCGUGGAAACGUCAGUCGAUCCCGUCCGAACGACUUGAUGACCCUUUUAGAGCCGUUGAAGCGACUCUCCGAACGCGACCCCAGGUCAGGCGGGA